UGCGGAAGGAUCAUUACUGA
RNAcentral lists this ribosomal RNA (20 nucleotides) under uncultured fungus. Its description in RNAcentral is "18S ribosomal RNA". Lineage: Eukaryota; Fungi. The record is from RNAcentral.